This 168-nucleotide unclassified non-coding RNA is filed under the name uncultured Aspergillus. Its description in RNAcentral is "sequence contains ITS2". The record is from RNAcentral. Lineage: Eukaryota; Fungi; Ascomycota; Eurotiomycetes; Eurotiales; Aspergillaceae.
CUGCCCUCAAGCACGGCUUGUGUGUUGGGCCCCCGUCCCGGUUCUCCAAGCCGGGACGGGCCCGAAAGGCAGCGGCGGCACCGUGUCCGGUCCUCGAGUGUAUGGGGCUCUGUCACUCACUCGUGUAGGUCCGGCCGGCGGCCAGCCUCUUCAACCAUUUUUUCACCA